Molecule: long non-coding RNA, 1943 nt
Organism: Piliocolobus tephrosceles (Ugandan red Colobus)
Lineage: Eukaryota; Metazoa; Chordata; Mammalia; Primates; Cercopithecidae
Source: Ensembl
UUACUUUUGUAAAAUACAAAAAAUAACGGCUAUAAGAAUAGCAUUUUACUUUUUUAACAGAAUGAAAUAAUACAAAAUAAAAUUCAAAAAAAAGCAGUUAUGCUACAUAUGUUAGAGCUAUUUUGGCACUUGCAUAAUAUGUUGUAAAUAGUAUAAAAUAAAAAAGGAAACCGCACAUACAUAAAUAAGGACAUAUAUAUAUAUAUAUAUAUACAUUGCAACUAUAUUUAUAUAUAAUACAUAGUUAGGUUUAUUCCGUGAAAGAAAAAAGGAAAAAAAAAUUGAUAGAUACUUUGAAGCUUUCUUGUUUACAAAUUAAAAAACAUUACUUAAUAAAAUAUAUUAUUGUUUGUUUAUGUGUAGUAGUAAAUAUUAUCUUUAUGAACUUAUUACUUUUGUUUUUUCUAGCCUUUUUUUAGCUAUUUUUUUUAGGUUUUUUUUUUUUGUGCAUAUACCAUAAGUUAUCGUUUUAUUUUAUUAUUUUUUUUUUUUUUUGUUUUUACUUAAAAGAAAAGUAUAGGCUGUUAAAAUAUUGAUAUACAACUUUUGACAAACAUACUUCUAGAUUACUUUAAAAUAUAAUGACUAAAAAAAAUGAAUGUAAGAUAGUAAUAAAAUUAUUUUUCAUAUAUAUAACUGCUUUUAAUUACAUAAGUAAAGCAUAUAUAAUAAGUAAUAUUUUUAACAAUGAAAUAAUAAACAAACAUUGUUAUAAUAAUAAUAAUAAGGAUCAUACAAUAUUUCAUAAAAGACAUGUUUUAACUUUAAAAUUAAACAGUACAGCGUUGUCACCAACGCAUACUACCAGCAGUUUAUGGAAUAACAAAACAACAGAUAGUGGUGUAAAUAAAAAUGUAAAACUUAAAAAAAAAGAUAAAAAAAUAUUAAAAAAAUAUAAAGACUUUUUAGAUAUGUUACCAAACAGAAACGUGGAAUAUGGGAUUAUUGAUGCAAUCGAAAAAAUAAAAACAUUAGCUAUUCAUAAAUUUGUUGAAAGUAUAGAUAUUUAUUUAUCAUUUAAUAAAAAAAAAUCUAAAAUGACAAAAAAUGAUAAUAUAAAAACAUUUAUAACAUUUCCUCACAAUUUAAAAAAAAAAAGAAAAAAAAUAAUAUACGUUGUAACAAAUAAAAAUCUCUAUAAAGCUGCUACUGAAUCAGGGGCUGAUGUUGUAGGAGAAGAUGACUUAAUAAAUAAAAUAAAAGAAAAAGAAAUACGAUUAAAAAAAAAAAAUAAUAACUUUUUGUUAUGUACAAACGAUGUAAUACAUAAAUUAACACGCGUUGGUAAGGAGGUAGGAAGUAAAGGACUAAUGCCAAAUGAAAAAUGUGGCACAUUAGUUAGUGAAUAUACAUUAGAAAAACAUGUUAAAAUGUUCAAAUUUGAAAAUACACUUAUAUUUAAAUUAAAUAAAUUAAAUACUUUAAAUUUAAAUGUUGGAGAUGUAUACAUGUCGAACGAUGAUAUUAAAGAAAAUAUUUGUCAUUUGUUUGAAUUUUUAGAUAAUUUAGAAUUCUUUCAUUUUAAUUAUAAAAAUUUAAAAUCUAUUUAUUUGGGUAGCACUAUGGGAUUUCCUUUUAAAAUUAAGAAAAAUUUCUAUUAAAACAGACAUUAAACAUUCAGUAUGUAUAUAUAUAUAUAUAUAUAUAUAUACAUGCACUGACGCACAUAUACAAAAAUACAGCAAUGUGUAUAUUAAGAAUUUCAUAUUUUUAGUAUAUGUAAAUUAUUUGAUUUUAUAAUGAAUCUUUUUAAAAAAUAUGUCCUUUUUUUUUUUUUUUUUUUUUUUUUUUGUUUAUAAUUUUAUAAAAAUUAUUUCAAGUACAACUGAACGUAAAUACAUGUAAUUUUUUUUUUUUUUUUUCAUCUUUUUUAAAAACCAUAUAAAAUUAGAAAAAAAAAAUAACAAAAUAAAAGAUAGAAUAAUGUUUUUUCUUUUAUAAAU